Molecule: small nucleolar RNA, 107 nt
Organism: Dendrobium catenatum
Lineage: Eukaryota; Viridiplantae; Streptophyta; Magnoliopsida; Asparagales; Orchidaceae
Source: RefSeq, a predicted model, not a curated record
AGGACAUGGUGUGGGCUCUUUAUAAGCAUCUUCUUGAAUCUCUCCCAACUCUCAUAAAUAUAUUCUCCUUCUAAUUGAGUAAAAUAAGUAAUAUCGUUUAUAAGUUU